This 1002-nucleotide long non-coding RNA is filed under the name Junco hyemalis (dark-eyed junco). RNAcentral describes it as "lncRNA (ENSJHYG00000000024.1)". The record is from RNAcentral. Lineage: Eukaryota; Metazoa; Chordata; Aves; Passeriformes; Passerellidae.
GGCAUAAGUGAACAGAAGCUCUUUAAAGAUGAACUUGCGGGAACCAGCAGACUGAUGCAAUAUAUCACAGGGACAAAAAGGCCAGACAACAACUUUCUGAGUACAUGGCAUAAAACCAGAUGGGGAGAAAAGAAACUGGUACUUUUUGCCUGACAUGACCUGAGGAAAAUUAUUGGCUAUUAUGCGGCUCUUGCAUGGUUGUUUCAGGCGUAUCAUGUUCUGAAGUGAUUAAAAUGCAACUGGUGACAGCAGGAACCCAAAUGCCCUUCUGAAUUGUGUGCAAAAUGUGACAGUUUUUCUUUCAAUCCAGGACUGCCAAUGAAGGCUCCUCUCUUCCUCGCUGACUACAGGAGCUUGGGGAAUGAAGAAAGUCCUAAAGAGAGGGAGUCACAUCCAUUUUCUUCUGUCUGCUCUUCAACAGACCUUUAUCAUGCUUCUUUUCACAGAGGGUGGAGUGUUUUUGCACUGGGCAUUCAUCCAAACCAAGCCAUUUCAGGUUCAGGCCAGUUGGAGUAGCUGAAUACAGACACAGAGAUGCUACUUAAGGACAAGAUGAAGUAAUGAGAGAGCAGAGGGAGGAGGAGAUGCAAGAGAGAAGACAAGAAUUUGUUAGAAUAUUUAAAGAGCUCGGUCAUAGACAUCAAGUGCAUCUUGUCCUGGUCUUUCAGUUUGAACAUGAGGAUAAAAUAUGGAAUCACCAGGGUCAGAACAGAGCAAGGGCAAAGGAAGCCAAAACUCAUUAUCAGCAACUAAGUUUCCAAAUACUGAAUAGUUUGUCUGUCCUUGUUAGGCCUGUUUUCUAGAUUUAAAAAUAGCCAAGAUUACUCUUCAAUCAACACUUGCAAAUUAUGAUCUGGCAGUGACCUGUGCGGAGCAUUCUGCAUGUCUGUGCUGUUUGGGUGGUCACAGAUUUACGAGUUUUCCUGAAUGCCUCCUGGAUAGCUGGGAGGAAGGCCACGGUUCUUUUAGGCACAUAAAUAAAUGCCAGUUGUGGUAGUGGCA